ACUCCUACGGGAGGCAGCAGUGGGGAAUAUUGGACAAUGGGGGCAACCCUGAUCCAGCAAUGCCGCGUGAGUGAUGAAGGCCUUAGGGUUGUAAAGCCCUUUUGCACGCGACGAUGAUGACGGUACCCGCAGAAGAAGCCCCGGCUAACUUCGUGCCAGCAGCCGCGGUAAUACGUAGGUGGCAAGCGUUGUCCGGAAUUACUGGGUGUAAAGCGCGCGUAGGCGGUAGGCCAAGUCUGCUGUGAAAUCGCCCGGCUCAACUGGGAGAGGGCCGUCCAGACGGGGUCACUUGAGGGGCGGAGAGGGGCGUGGAAUUCCGGGUGGAGCGGUGAAAUGCGUAGAGAUCGGGAGGAACAUCAGUGGCGAAGGCGGCCAUCUGGAUCAACACUGACGCUGAGGCACGAAAGCGUGGGGAGCAAACAGGAUUAGAUACCCUGGUAGUCCACGCCCUAAACGAUGCGAACUGGAUGUUGGUCUCAACUCGGAGAUCAGUGUCGAAGCUAACGCGUUAAGUUCGCCGCCUGGGGAGUACGGUCGCAAGAUUAAAACUCAAAGGAAUUGACG
RNAcentral lists this ribosomal RNA (564 nucleotides) under uncultured Fulvimonas sp. RNAcentral describes it as "bacterial SSU rRNA". It matches the Rfam family "Bacterial small subunit ribosomal RNA", at positions 335 to 915 of the family's 1533-position model. The record is from RNAcentral. Lineage: Bacteria; Pseudomonadati; Pseudomonadota; Gammaproteobacteria; Lysobacterales; Rhodanobacteraceae.